This is a long non-coding RNA of Bubalus bubalis (water buffalo), 933 nucleotides long. RefSeq lists it as uncharacterized. The transcript is spliced from 3 exons. The record is from RefSeq and is a predicted model, not a curated record. Lineage: Eukaryota; Metazoa; Chordata; Mammalia; Artiodactyla; Bovidae.
UUUCAUAGGCUCAGAGCCAUGGGUCUUCAGACCGGGGUCAAGGAGGGGCCUAGACUUGGGCCUUUGCUCGGCGCUCUGGCUCCCGUGCUUUGUCUCUUCCUGGGCUCUUCACUGCACACACUGCUUCCUGUGGGACUAGGGGACUUGGGCUUCCCUGGCUCACUUUCUUUUGGAAGCUGAAGGGGAGAAGCUCCAAACUCAAGGGACAGGAAGAAUGGCCGUUGUUUGAAUAAGAAUCUGAAGCUGCACUAUCUGAGAGAACUUGAUCACAAGGCCACACAGAACUGAUAGAGGCUGAGGAAUGCAGUCUAGACGUGGGACUUGGGAAGAAGAGGAGAACGCAGAGAUUGUUGAGUACUAGCAGCUUGUAAGCAGAAGGGUUGGCACCCAAACUCAGUUAUCUAAUUCAAAAGCCCUCUUGAUUGUGAAGCCAAAACUGACAUUUUUGCCCUGACUCCUUUAUAAAAAAACCUGUGCAACAUGUUUUGCAGUAAUGGGGAAAAAAUAAGAUUACCUGUCUAGUUCUGAUCCCCAGUGAAUGGCGUCUUGCACAUUACCUGUCAGACUGGACUCAUCUAGCCAAAACUUUAGCCUUGUCUUGAGUAACAGUGACAUGUGAAGAAAUGAUACAACCUUUGUGGAUAUGAUAAUCACAUGAGAAAGAUGCUAUUUUUCUACCAUAAUCAGACUAUUGGCAAUUUUUUUGUUCUCGUUAAUACACGUGCACGCGCGCACACACACACACACACACACAAACGUGUAUACACACCUUCAAAGCAUUCCUUCUGAAGUCUGACUGACUUGUAUUUCAUUGCAAGUAAAUUUUUAUUUUCUAAAUGCCUUUGUCUUUCACUCUUAUUUUGGAUAUCACAUCAGUUCUGCCUUUCAAAUUUAUUUCUUCUCUUGAUUAAAUUUCCCAAGUAUUUUAUUUCA